Molecule: transfer RNA, 58 nt
Filed under: Littoraria articulata
Lineage: Eukaryota; Metazoa; Mollusca; Gastropoda; Littorinimorpha; Littorinidae
Also listed under: 3 other names
Description: tRNA-Gln
Source: RNAcentral
UAGCGGUGUUAGGGCACGAAGAAUUUUGAUUUCUUUGGAGAGGGUCGUUUCCUCCUAG